AGAGUUUGAUCCUGGCUCAGGACGAACGCUGGCGGCGUGCUUAACACAUGCAAGUCGAACGGUGAACCCGGGUUCGGCCCGGGGAUCAGUGGCGAACGGGUGCGUAACACGUGGGCAACCUGCCCCUCACUCUGGGAUAACCCCGGGAAACCGGAGCUAAUACCGGAUACUCCGAACGGUCCCGCAUGGUCCGAUCGGGAAAGGUCCGCCGGUGAGGGAUGGGCCCGCGGCCUAUCAGCUUGUUGGUGAGGUAAGGGCUCACCAAGGCGACGACGGGUAGCUGGUCUGAGAGGACGACCAGCCACACUGGGACUGAGAUACGGCCCAGACUCCUACGGGAGGCAGCAGUGGGGAAUCUUGCGCAAUGGGCGAAAGCCUGACGCAGCGACGCCGCGUGGGGGAUGAAGGCCCUCGGGUUGUAAACCCCUUUCGGCAGGGACGAAGCGGUUCCGUGACGGUACCUGCAGAAGAAGCCUCGGCUAACUACGUGCCAGCAGCCGCGGUAAGACGUAGGAGGCGAGCGUUGUCCGGAUUCAUUGGGCGUAAAGAGCACGCAGGCGGUUUGGUAAGUCGGAUGUGAAAACCCGGAGCUCAACUCCGGGCCUGCAUCCGAAACUGCCCGACUAGAGGUAGGUAGGGGAGAUCGGAAUUCCUGGUGUAGCGGUGAAAUGCGCAGAUAUCAGGAGGAACACCGGUGGCGAAGGCGGAUCUCUGGGCCUUACCUGACGCUCAGGUGCGAAAGCUAGGGGAGCGAACAGGAUUAGAUACCCUGGUAGUCCACGCUGUAAACGAUGGAUGCUAGCCGUUGGCGAGCUUGCUCGUCAGUGGCGCAGCUAACGCUUUAAGCAUCCCGCCUGGGGAGUACGGUCGCAAGAUUAAAACUCAAAUGAAUUGACGG
Molecule: ribosomal RNA, 898 nt
Filed under: uncultured bacterium
Lineage: Bacteria
Description: bacterial SSU rRNA
Rfam family: Bacterial small subunit ribosomal RNA
Source: RNAcentral